UACGUAGGGUGCGAGCGUUGUCCGGAAUUACUGGGCGUAAAGAGCUCGUAGGUGGUUUGUCGCGUUGUCCGUGAAAACUCACAACUCAAUUGUGGGCGUGCGGGCGAUACGGGCAGACUGGAGUACUGCAGGGGAGACUGGAAUUCCUGGUGUAGCGGUGGAAUGCGCAGAUAUCAGGAGGAACACCGGUGGCGAAGGCGGGUCUCUGGGCAGUAACUGACGCUGAGGAGCGAAAGCCAGGGGAGCAAACGGG
This 253-nucleotide ribosomal RNA is filed under the name uncultured bacterium. RNAcentral describes it as "partial 16S ribosomal RNA". It matches the Rfam family "Bacterial small subunit ribosomal RNA", at positions 524 to 776 of the family's 1533-position model. The record is from RNAcentral.